GAAAAUAACGGCUCCCAAGUGGAGCAAAGUGGUACUUGUGAUGUAGGUGAUGAAAUUCCUCCCCAAGCCAUAAGAAGAAUGGGUAUUGGUCAUAUCCUACCCAUUGAGGAACCCCUUGUGGCCGAAGGAGAAGGACAAUGCUCCACCUCUGUGGAGCCUUCACCUACUCAAGACCCACACGCUUCCGAAGAACAAAGUGAAGGCCCUCAACCUCGGGAACAAGACCAAGGGCAAGAUCAAUCUCAAGAUGGUGGUGAACCUCCACAUGAUGCCCAAGGUCAAGUUCUCCCCCUCGAGCAAGUUCAAGAUCAUGAG
This 315-nucleotide ribosomal RNA is filed under the name Triticum aestivum (bread wheat). RNAcentral describes it as "partial small subunit ribosomal RNA". Lineage: Eukaryota; Viridiplantae; Streptophyta; Magnoliopsida; Poales; Poaceae. The record is from RNAcentral.